Molecule: non-coding RNA, 211 nt
Organism: Lonchura striata (white-rumped munia)
Lineage: Eukaryota; Metazoa; Chordata; Aves; Passeriformes; Estrildidae
Source: RefSeq, a predicted model, not a curated record
UACGGGAGAAGCCUGAUGGAGAGGGGCUUGCGGAUGAGAGCGAGAGAAAAUUGCAUUUACAGUAAAUAAAAGCAUCCCUCACAGAGGAUCUCUCAACUCAACAUGACCUUUGAUGUUGCAAGGACACAUGGCCUAGACAGAAAGAAAAGUCCACCCCCGAGACAAGCUACACAUGAUUUUUAAUACACCCUUUAAAUCAGGAGAUGACAUG